Gorilla gorilla gorilla (western lowland gorilla) is the source of this 936-nucleotide long non-coding RNA. RefSeq lists it as uncharacterized. NCBI's taxonomy places the organism in Eukaryota, Metazoa, Chordata, Mammalia, Primates, Hominidae. The record is from RefSeq and is a predicted model, not a curated record. The transcript has 5 exons.
UUGUCAGCAGGGAGUUUGUCUCAUUCAUCCUUAACAGCAAUAACUGCCAUUUGCUGAGCAAUUUCUACCUGUCUUCUGUGCUCCUUGUCCUGGGAGGCAAGUGUGAAGAUUACACAUCUCUGCUCACUCCCCUUGCCACAGAGAGCAGAAACAUGACUAGUGGAGCCAAUGCGGCAGUGAGCAGCAGGGAUCCUGUCAUUUCUGAGCUGAAGCAUUUCAAUGUUUGUUUAGAACCCUCCACCAUUCUCGCCUGCCACAUGGACUGAGGAGGCUGUGUGUUCCAGAUGGCAAAGCCACAGGGUGGUGGUGUCUCUGUCUGUGUGGAUCACUGAGCCAGGCCAUGAAGUGAAGCUGCCUUAGAAGUUACCCAGGCCUGCAGCAGGAGCUGAAAUUCAACAUAUUGCCCUAAGAAGCAUCCAGAGCAAUUGUGUAUCUGCAGAUGCUUAUUGUGUCGACUGGGAGAUGGGGUGAGAGUGGAGGCUUUUCUUCCUGUUGAAAGAAGAAAGAAGGUUGUUGGCAUCUGGACUCAUGAUCCACACCGCCUAGGGUCAGAGAUGCAGGGAGCUGGCCAAAACGCCUUUCUCUGUGAUAAAGAGGCCACAGCGUUAAAUCCCGUGAGUUCAUCAACAGGACACACGCCUUAGGAGCCAUGGACAGCCACGUAAGAAGUCCAGCCCCCUGAAGAUGCCCGGCUGCCAGCACCAUGCAGAGACCACAUAGAGAUGGAGAGAAAUCGCAAGAAGCCCCAGCUGCUCCAGCUCCAGCUGCCUGAGGCUUUCCAGCCCAGACACCAGACAUGUGGAUGGGGAAGGCUUUGCUGGGACUCCAGCUGCAACUGCAGGAGAGACCCCAUGCAAGAGCCACCCAGCGGAGCCCAGCCAACCCCCAGAACCUGGAAAGAUAUAAUAAAUGAUUAUCGUUGUUUGAUGCCAAUAA